RNAcentral lists this ribosomal RNA (484 nucleotides) under uncultured bacterium. RNAcentral describes it as "partial 16S ribosomal RNA". It matches the Rfam family "Bacterial small subunit ribosomal RNA", at positions 30 to 507 of the family's 1533-position model. The record is from RNAcentral.
AUUGAACGCUCGCGGGAUGCUUUACACAUGCAAGUCGAACGGCAGCGCGGACUUCGGUCUGGCGGCGAGUGGCGGACGGGUGAGUAAUGUAUCGGAACGUGCCCAGUAGCGGGGGAUAACUACGCGAAAGCGUAGCUAAUACCGCAUACGCCCUACGGGGGAAAGCAGGGGAUCGUAAGACCUUGCACUAUUGGAGCGGCCGAUAUCGGAUUAGCUAGUUGGUGAGGUAACGGCUCACCAAGGCGACGAUCCGUAGCUGGUUUGAGAGGACGACCAGCCACACUGGGACUGAGACACGGCCCAGACUCCUACGGGAGGCAGCAGUGGGGAAUUUUGGACAAUGGGGGCAAGCCUGAUCCAGCCAUCCCGCGUGUGCGAUGAAGGCCUUCGGGUUGUAAAGCACUUUUGGCAGGAAAGAAACGUCGCGGGCUAAUACCCCGUGGAUCUGACGGUACCUGCAGAAUAAGCACCGGCUAACUACGUG